RNAcentral lists this unclassified non-coding RNA (335 nucleotides) under soil metagenome. RNAcentral's name for it is "partial contains 5.8S ribosomal RNA, internal transcribed spacer 2, and large subunit ribosomal RNA". The stretch from base 1 to 120 matches the Rfam family "5.8S ribosomal RNA", at positions 35 to 154 of the family's 154-position model. The record is from RNAcentral.
GAUGAAGAACGCAGCGAAAUGCGAUAAGUAAUGUGAAUUGCAGAAUUCAGUGAAUCAUCGAAUCUUUGAACGCACAUUGCGCCCAUUAGCAUUCUAGUGGGCAUGCCUGUUCGAGCGUCAUUUCAACCCUUAAGCCCCGUUGCUUAGCGUUGGGAGCCUACAGUACUGUAGCUCCCCAAAGUUAGUGGCGGAGUCGGUUUCACACUCUAGACGUAGUAAUUUUUUCUCGUCUGUAGUUGAGCCGGUCCCCUGCCGUAAAACACCCAAUUUAUCAAGGUUGACCUCGGAUCAGGUAGGAAUACCCGCUGAACUUAAGCAUAUCAAUAAGCGGAGGA